RNAcentral lists this long non-coding RNA (2054 nucleotides) under Monodelphis domestica (gray short-tailed opossum). Its description in RNAcentral is "lncRNA (ENSMODG00000043869.1)". The record is from RNAcentral. Lineage: Eukaryota; Metazoa; Chordata; Mammalia; Didelphimorphia; Didelphidae.
AGGGAAAAUUAAGUGGCCAGCAGCUGCCGAAUUAAUAUGUUCUUGUAAUCUAUUUUUUAUUUACAGAUGCACAUUCCCAUCAGAUGGGAUUUGAGCAGAAUGCAUUUUUACAACAAAAACCAAAGCAGCCCAAUUUUCGUGUUUGCACACAGAUGGGUUACUCUGUGUUUCCUUGGACAAUUUGGAGUGUGUCUUCUCCCAACACAGCCCAGAUGCUUGUUUGUAAUGCUGAGCUUCCGGCCUCGGGGCUAAGCUAUCAAAUGACCCAGAGAAGGAAAUGGCAAAUAACUCCAGUAUUUUUGCCAAGAAAACCUCCAAAAUGGAAUCAUAAAGACUUGGAAACUACUGAAAAAUGACUGAAAACCAUUGGAGCAUGGCAUAGUCAUCAAUGCCCAGAGACAGGAUAAAAGACAAGAUGAUUGGCAAUGGUCUGGGAUGCAGUGGAUGAUCUUGGUCUCUUUGGCAUCUGUUCAGGCUCUGAAGCACCCCACAGUGCCUGCCUGCUUCAACUACCUUUUAUGGCCAUUAAAACAAAUUGUUCUAAUCUACCCAUUUUAGAAGUGGAAGUCUUAAAAAUGUAAGUAGAUAUCCCUUUAACUCACUGAUGGGUUUGAGGCCUGUUGGUCAUCCUCAACUGGGUUUAGUGAGUGAUGGUGAAUCUUUUAGAGAGGUAUGUGAUGGGAGAAAUAUCCUCAGGCCACCUAUGGAGAGGGGGAGGAGACUAACCCAGUGUCAUGUCUCUCUGGCAGUCUAGUAAUGAACACUGUUGAGUGCUGUGUUGGAGUUAUGGCUGGGUGCUCACAGAGAGGGUUCUGAGUGCCUUCUCUGGCAUGUGUGCAAUAGGUCCACCACCAUGGGUUUAGGCUGUUUGCUGAGAUGAUUUACUCAGGGUGUGGUCACUGGAUAGCCAUAGCUUCUUAAAGCUACAGGGGGGAGUUGGGUGAAAGGACCCCAAAGGUGGUUAAGUAGCCCUGAAAAUGGCUUAAUAAGCCUUUACUCAAGAAGUAUGAGUCCUCCUUGUAUAUCUAAUAUUCCUUAUCUAAAUCUACUCACUGGGAAAAGGAGAUCCUAGAAUCCUAGAGAACUGGAAGGGGUGUUAGAGACCUCUUGGUUCCAGGAGGCUCUGACAACAGAUGCUGUAAGGGUUGGGUUCCACUGAACAACAUUUCUGUAAUGAUUAAAAUUAUACUAAGACUUCUUUUUGAGUAAGAAUAUCAAUUUUUUGAUCAUAUCGGGUUUAUUGGUUAGGUCAGCAUAUAGGUUUCCAUGGCUUUCUCAUUAUCAAGGGACUAACUGAUUUGGGUUAGGCAACCCCAUAAAUAGAUUUUUAGCAGCUUAAUAUUUGGUGCCUCCUCUGAACAUCCGAAGACAUCUUUAAUUGAUGAUAACUAAUUAAGAGGUGCUCUAUCAAGCUGUCUACCGCUCUCUAUCCCCAUAGAUGGAUAGUCAUGUCCACAGGAAAAGAACUCUUAUCUCCUUCAUUUAUUAGUCAAAUUUUGCCAACAUGGAAGAUAGUCUUUGGGAUUCCAAAGAACAAAGGAAAUGCAAAAAGUAACAGACUGUAUGGUAUUUCAGAUCUGGAUCCCAGACAGAGGAACACAUGGUAGUCCUCCCUAACAUAUAAGAAUUAACACAGUAUAUGAAAAACAAAUUCUCAUAAUUGUAAUACAAGCUGUUAAUGCCAGCUCAUUGCAAGGUCCAGCUUAUCUAAGAACCUUAAAACAGGACUGGAAGGUGAUUGGUUCCUAAACCCAGCAUAGAAUAGUAUUUGUUGUUGGGUUUUACACUUUCUGGCAUAUUUCUGUUUCUGUAUAGGAGAACCAACUUCCCAGUCUGAAAGGGGUCAUUUUUUAAAAUUAAAAAUCGUUUACUUUUAAUAUUUAUUUGUUAAAAAAAAUGAGUGUCAAAUUCUCUCUUUUUCCAGCCUCUUCUCCACUCAAUGUAAAAACAAGCAAUGUGAUAUCCAUUAGAUAUGUAAAGUCAUUCAAAACACAUUUUGUAUAAGCCAUGUUUCAAAAAAUAAAAAAUCCAGCAUUAAAAAGAAAGUGAAAAAA